AACGCUAGCUACAGGCUUAACACAUGCAAGUCGAGGGGAAACGACAUUGGAAGCUUGCUUCCGAUGGGCGUCGACCGGCGCACGGGUGAGUAACGCGUAUCCAACCUGCCCACCACUUGGGGAUAACCUUGCGAAAGUAAGACUAAUACCCAAUGACGUCCAUGGAAGACAUCUGAAGUGGAUUAAAGAUUUAUCGGUGAUGGAUGGGGAUGCGUCUGAUUAGCUUGUUGGCGGGGUAACGGCCCACCAAGGCGACGAUCAGUAGGGGUUCUGAGAGGAAGGUCCCCCACACUGGAACUGAGACACGGUCCAAACUCCUACGGGAGGCAGCAGUGAGGAAUAUUGGUCAAUGGGCGAGAGCCUGAACCAGCCAAGUAGCGUGCAGGAUGACGGCCCUAUGGGUUGUAAACUGCUUUUAUAAGGGAAUAAAGUGGAGGUCGUGACCUCUUUUGCAUGUACCUUAUGAAUAAGGACCGGCUAAUUCCGUGCCAGCAGCCGCGGUAAUACGGAAGGUCCGGGCGUUAUCCGGAUUUAUUGGGUUUAAAGGGAGCGUAGGCCGGAGAUUAAGCGUGUUGUGAAAUGUAGUUGCUCAACAUCUGCACUGCAGCGCGAACUGGUUUCCUUGAGUACGCACAAAGUGGGCGGAAUUCGUGGUGUAGCGGUGAAAUGCUUAGAUAUCACGAAGAACUCCGAUUG
This 696-nucleotide ribosomal RNA is filed under the name uncultured Bacteroidales bacterium. Its description in RNAcentral is "bacterial SSU rRNA". It matches the Rfam family "Bacterial small subunit ribosomal RNA", at positions 32 to 715 of the family's 1533-position model. The record is from RNAcentral. Lineage: Bacteria; Pseudomonadati; Bacteroidota; Bacteroidia; Bacteroidales.